UAGGGAAUAUUAGAAAUGGACGAAAGUCUGAUCUAGCAACACCGCGUGUGCGAAGAAGGCCUUCGGGUCGUAAAGAACUUUUUGGAAGGAAUAGGAAGGAAUGUACUUCCAGAAUAAGUCUCGGCUAACUACGUGCCAGCAGCCGCGGUAACACGUAGGAGGCAAACGUUAUCCGGAUUUACUGGGCGUAAAGCGCGUGUAGGUGGUACUGUAAGUAGGGCGUGAAAGCUCCUGGCGCAACUGGGAGAGGCCGUUCUAAACGACAGAACUAGAGGAUGGUAGAGGGAGGUGGAAUUCCAGGUGUAGCGGUGGAAUGCGCAGAUAUCUGGAGGAACACCGGUGGCGAAGGCGGCCUCCUGGACCAUUCCUGACACUCAGACGCGAAAGCUAGGGUAGCAAACG
Molecule: ribosomal RNA, 402 nt
Filed under: uncultured prokaryote
Description: bacterial SSU rRNA
Rfam family: Bacterial small subunit ribosomal RNA
Source: RNAcentral